This 253-nucleotide ribosomal RNA is filed under the name uncultured bacterium. RNAcentral describes it as "partial 16S ribosomal RNA". It matches the Rfam family "Bacterial small subunit ribosomal RNA", at positions 524 to 776 of the family's 1533-position model. The record is from RNAcentral.
UACGAAGGGGGCUAGCGUUGUUCGGAUUUACUGGGCGUAAAGCGCAUGUAGGCGGGGCGUUAAGUCGGGGGUGAAAGCCCGGAGCUCAACUCCGGAACUGCCUUCGAUACUGGCGACCUAGAGUGAAGGAGAGGCGAGCGGAAUUCCGAGUGUAGAGGUGAAAUUCAUAGAUAUUCGGAGGAACACCAGUGGCGAAGGCGGCUCGCUGGCCUGUUACUGACGCUGAGAUGCGAAAGCGUGGGGAGCAAACAGG